AAAGGGCCUGACUGAACCGAUAAAAAUAGAGCAUUGUGUCAUUCGAUGCAAUGGAUGUGUAUUGUAAACAGAAUAAUUAAAAUUCUGAUAGAUAUGUUGUGGAACAGAAGCAUAAACUCAAUAUUUUCAAAAUAUCACCAGACACAAGUAUGGAGUCCCUGUUCAAAACGACUUCUCGCAACGAUUUUUGGUGGAGAAUCCGUGAUGAAUAUCCAAUGCUUUCCAAAAUGGUCUCUCCAUUUCCCAACAACAUAUUUGUGCAAAACAGGUUUCUCAAGCUAUACAACCACGAACACAAAAUACCGCAAUAGACUGGACACCGAACCUGAUAUGAGACUAUCUUCUAUCAAACCUAAUAUCAACCAAUUGAUAAAAAAUAAAAAACAGUUUCAUACUACCCAUUAGUUAGAUUUUUUCUUUUUUAAUAUUUUCUAUAUUGAUACUUGUUAUAUAAGUGAGUAAUAAGUAGGUAACUGUUACAUUGUACUUUUAUUAUGCUUAUUAAUGAAAAAUACACUUCAAAA
This is a long non-coding RNA of Leptinotarsa decemlineata (Colorado potato beetle), 524 nucleotides long. RefSeq lists it as uncharacterized. Lineage: Eukaryota; Metazoa; Arthropoda; Insecta; Coleoptera; Chrysomelidae. The record is from RefSeq and is a predicted model, not a curated record.